UGGGGAAUUUUGGACAAUGGGCGAAAGCCUGAUCCAGCCAUGCCGCGUGAGUGAAGAAGGCCUUCGGGUUGUAAAGCUCUUUUAGUCGGAAAGAAAGAGUUGCAAUGAAUAAUUGUGAUUUAUGACGGUACCGACAGAAAAAGCACCGGCUAACUACGUGCCAGCAGCCGCGGUAAUACGUAGGGUGCGAGCGUUAAUCGGAAUUACUGGGCGUAAAGGGUGCGCAGGCGGUCUUGCAAGUCAGAUGUGAAAGCCCCGGGCUUAACCUGGGAAUUGCGUUUGAAACUACAAGGCUAGAGUGCAGCAGAGGGGAGUGGAAUUCCAUGUGUAGCAGUGAAAUGCGUAGAGAUGUGGAAGAACACCGAUGGCGAAGGCAGCUCCCUGGGUUGAAACUGACGCUCAUGCACGAAAGCGUGGGGAGCAAACA
Molecule: ribosomal RNA, 427 nt
Filed under: uncultured beta proteobacterium
Lineage: Bacteria; Pseudomonadati; Pseudomonadota; Betaproteobacteria
Description: bacterial SSU rRNA
Rfam family: Bacterial small subunit ribosomal RNA
Source: RNAcentral